Lactarius indigo is the source of this 78-nucleotide non-coding RNA. NCBI's taxonomy places the organism in Eukaryota, Fungi, Basidiomycota, Agaricomycetes, Russulales, Russulaceae. The record is from the annotation of a GenBank genome assembly.
GGCUAGGUAGCUCAGUUGGUAGAGCACCUGGUAUAUAUAUAUAUCCAGAAGGCCUGGGUUCAAACCCCAGUCUGGUCA